RNAcentral lists this ribosomal RNA (408 nucleotides) under Fusobacteriota bacterium. RNAcentral describes it as "Fusobacteria bacterium partial 16S ribosomal RNA". It matches the Rfam family "Bacterial small subunit ribosomal RNA", at positions 355 to 776 of the family's 1533-position model. The record is from RNAcentral. Lineage: Bacteria; Fusobacteriati; Fusobacteriota.
UGGGGAAUAUUGCACAAUGGACGGAAGUCUGAUGCAGCAACGCCGCGUGCGGGAUGACGGCCUUCGGGUUGUAAACCGCUUUUUCUCAUGACGAAGUUUUUUGACGGUAGUGGGGGAAGAAGCACCGGCUAACUACGUGCCAGCAGCCGCGGUGAUACGUAGGGUGCGAGCGUUGUCCGGAAUUAUUGGGCGUAAAGAGCUUGUAGGCGGUUUGUCGCGUCGAUAGUGCAAACUCAGUGCUUAACGCUGAGCCUGCUGUUGUUACGGGCAGAGUAGAGGAAGGUAGGGGAGAAUGGAAUUCCCGGUGGAGCGGUGGAAUGCGCAGAUAUCGGGAGGAACACCGGUGGCGAAGGCGGUUCUCUGGGCCUUUCCUGACGCUGAGAAGCGAAAGCGUGGGGAGCGAACAGG